This is a non-coding RNA of Acyrthosiphon pisum (pea aphid), 64 nucleotides long. The record is from RefSeq and is marked provisional. Lineage: Eukaryota; Metazoa; Arthropoda; Insecta; Hemiptera; Aphididae.
UGGUUUCGUAUUGGUGCAUAGAAGUAUUAAUUUUGUAACUUGUCUAGCACCAUUUGAAACCAGU